ACCUGUGAGCGGCCCGCGCAAAGACUUGACGACUCUGAAUAAUUUCGAGCUGAUCGCAUGGUCUUGGUGCCAGCGACGUAUCUUUCAAAUGUCUGCCUUAUCAACUGUCGACGGUAGGUUCGAUGCCUACCGUGGUGGUAACGGGUAACGGGGAAUCAGGGUUCGAUUCCGGAGAGGGAGCCUGAGAAACGGCUACCACAUCCAAGGAAGGCAGCAGGCGCGCAAAUUACCCACUCCCAGCUCGGGGAGGUAGUGACGAAAAAUAACGAUGCGGGACUCUUAUGAGGCCCCGUAAUCGGAAUGAGUACACUUUAAAACCUUGGUCACACGAGGAUCAAUUGGAGGGCAAGUCUGGUGCCAGCAGCCGCGGUAAUUCCAGCUCCAAUAGCGUAUAUUAAAGUUGUUGCGGUUAAAAAGCUCGUAGUCGGAUCUGUGUCCUCGCGGCGUCGGACCACCAAGUACCGUGACGGGCUCCCCGGCUCUGUCUGGGUGUGCCAUGGGCGGUCAGGUGAUAGUUUCCGGCGUGUCAGCGGGACGUCCUGCCGGUAGGCGGACACGUUCCCAUCGCGUUGGUCCUGUGCUCGGUCUUCGGCCUUCGCGGCCGUCGUCAUCGGACACUCGAACUAACCAGUGGGAGGCGGCCGCCUUUUAAAUUCUGUUCGUGCGGGACGCGCUGCCCAGUUGUAGUUGCGUUUGGUACGGGCGGGCCGGCACGUUUACUUUGAACAAAUUAGAGUGCUCAAAGCAGGCUCGAACGUGGCGGGGUGCGCUUAAGUGUGUGCCUCGUCGUACAGCCCUGAAUAUGGUCGCAUGGAAUAAUGGAACAAGACCUCGGUCCCGCCUCUACGCUGCCUCGCAGCGCGUGAAUGGUGCCUUCGGGCCGUUCCGUGCGCGGGUUGCCGGUCGGGUCCCCGCAUUCGCGUCCGCGUCGCCCGCUUCCAGCCUUUGGGCCGUAAGUCGGUCACCGUGCGCGGGUUACGCAAUGUCGUGGUACACCUCGAUCGUUGGCCGGUUUCCGGGACCAGAGGUAAUGAUCAACAGAGACAGGCGUGGGCAUUCGUACCGCGACGUUAGAGGUGAAAUUCUUGGAUCGUCGCGAGACGAACCGAAGCGAAAGCAUUUGCCAAGUAUGUUCUCGUCUGAUCAAGAACGAAAGUUAGAGGUUCGAAGGCGAUCAGAUACCGCCCUAGUUCUAACCGUAAACGAUGCCAGCUAGCGAUCCGCCGGUGUCUUUCCGAUGACCCGGCGGGCAGCUUCCGGGAAACCGAAGCUUUUCGGUUCCGGGGGAAGUAUGGUUGCAAAGCUGAAACUUAAAGGAAUUGACGGAAGGGCACCACCAGGAGUGGAGCCUGCGGCUUAAUUUGACUCAACACGGGAAACCUCACCAGGCCCGGACACCGGAAAGAUUGACAGAUUGAGAGCUCUUUCUUGAUUCGGUGGGUGGUGGUGCAUGGCCGUUCUUAGUUGGUGGAGCGAUCUGUCUGGUUAAUUCCGAUAACGAACGAGACUCUGUCCUGCUAACUAGGCGGGUUCCUCGCCGCCCGAGGGUCACGUGUAUGGUGCCGGCCGCGGAGAUGCAAAAUGCCCUUUGCGGUCGGUGGUUGUGCAUGCCUCGGUCCACGGCGAACCGGGUAUCCCCGAACGUGGUCGACCGCCGUUUCUGGGGCGAUGUGGUGUUCGUGGAUGUUGCUCGUACGGGUGCUGGUUUGUCGGUGCGGGUAAAACUGUGUCGGCAGGUUGGUACGCGUGAGGGUGGCGAAACGGAUGCGCUCGUCCCGCCGGUGGUUCACAGCCGCUAAUAGGGCUACCGCCGGCUGAUAAAGCUUAAACUCUUCUUAGAGGGACAGGCGGCGUACAAAGCCAGCCGCACGAGACUGAGCGAUAACAGGUCUGUGAUGCCCUUAGAUGUUCUGGGCCGCACGCGCGCUACACUGAAGGAAUCAGCGUGUAAUUCUAACCUGGGCCGAGAGGCUUCUCCGGGCAACCCGCUGAACCUCCUUCGUGCUAGGGAUCGGGGCUUGCAAUUGUUCCCCGUGAACGAGGAAUUCCCAGUAAGCGCGAGUCAUCAGCUCGCGUUGAUUACGUCCCUGCCCUUUGUACACACCGCCCGUCGCUACUACCGAUUGAACGACCGCAGUGAGGUCUUCGGACCGAGGUGCGGCGGCACUUGUGCCGAUUUUGCACCGCCGGGAAGAUGACCGAACUCGGCCGUUUAGAGGAAGUAAAAGUCGUAACAAGGUUUCCGUAGGUGAACCUGCGGAAG
RNAcentral lists this ribosomal RNA (2263 nucleotides) under Dactylopius coccus. RNAcentral's name for it is "SSU rRNA". It matches the Rfam family "Eukaryotic small subunit ribosomal RNA", at positions 221 to 1823 of the family's 1831-position model. Lineage: Eukaryota; Metazoa; Arthropoda; Insecta; Hemiptera; Dactylopiidae. The record is from RNAcentral.